UGACGUCAAAUCAUCAUGCCCCUUAUGACCUGGGCUACACACGUGCUACAAUGGUUGGUACAACGAGUUGCGAGUCGGUGACGGCGAGCUAAAUCCUCUUUAAAAGCCAAUCUCAGUUCGGAUUGUAGGCUGCAACUCGCCUACAUGAAGUCGGAAUCGCUAGUAAUCGCGGAUCAGCACGCCGCGGCGAAUACGUUCCCGGGCCUU
RNAcentral lists this ribosomal RNA (207 nucleotides) under uncultured Streptococcus sp. RNAcentral describes it as "partial 16S ribosomal RNA". It matches the Rfam family "Bacterial small subunit ribosomal RNA", at positions 1180 to 1382 of the family's 1533-position model. The record is from RNAcentral. Lineage: Bacteria; Bacillati; Bacillota; Bacilli; Lactobacillales; Streptococcaceae.